Molecule: long non-coding RNA, 3781 nt
Filed under: Equus caballus (horse)
Lineage: Eukaryota; Metazoa; Chordata; Mammalia; Perissodactyla; Equidae
Description: lncRNA (ENSECAG00000047649.1)
Source: RNAcentral
CCUUUUUCUACUUUCUUGUAGUUGCUAGAAACCGUUGGUAUUCCUUGGCUUGUAGGUGCAUCACUCCAAUAUCUGCCUCUAUUGUCACCUGGCAUUAUCUCUGUGUGUCUCUGUGUUCAAAUUUCCCUCUUCUUAUAAAGACGCUAGUCAUUGGGUUAGGGCCCAUUGUAAUCCAGGAUGGCCUCAUUAAUUUGAUUACACCUGCAAAGACCCUAUUUACAAAUGAGGUCAUAUUCAGAGAUACUAGGAGUCAGAAGUUUAACAUAUCUUUUUGGGGAUACAAUUCAACAAUUUUAACGCUUGCUGUAGCUUUAAAUGGAAGGGGUUUCAAAGUUCUUAGGAGUCCUUGUUUUUGUCUUCCCAGGUAUCUCUUGUUUUCUCUAACACCUCCUCUUAAAUAGAGACUGACCCUUGCAGCUCUUUCAGCUGUUAUCCAUUGUUAAUACGCUUGAGCCCUGGUGAUGCAGUGGGAAGAAGUGGGAGAGGAAAAACCUUCUAUGAUAUUAUGAUUACGUUUUAGUGUUUUAGUAAGUCUUUGUCUCUGAACUGCAACCUUCACAAGUGUUUCUUCAUCCUCUCCUGUCUUACACUUGAAAAAGGAAGCCUAGAAGAAGCUGGAGCCUGGGACAUACCUUUCCACCAGCUGAUAUAAGGCUCUUUUUUGCCGGAAGGGCUUUGUUAUAGAGAACACUCCCAGCAUAUUUCAAAAUGGCUACUUUCCUCUUUUCCUGCCAGAGGGAUGAGACCCAGCCCUGCAGUCGCCUUGAAAACCAGCAGCCAGGAAGCCAGUGAAGAGAGAAGAAUGGUGUUGGAGCCCCUUCAAAGCCCCAUCCCCAGAAAACUAUCGUUAUUUUACAUGGUUGGUGUUUCCAUGGAAGAUUCUACUCACAAGGCUGUCUUUAUCCUGAAUCAGAGCUCUCCCAGUGCAAAAAGCCUUUCCCCUGGGGGUGUUGGCCCCAAAAAUGUAUGCAGUUGUUUAAAAAUCUGGAUUUCUGUAUUGUAGGAUAAUGGAUAGGGCCAAAAAUAGGCUAAACAAAGGAAAAGCUGGGGAAUGAGAUGUACAUGAAACCUUGGAUAAACUAUGUCAUAUUCCUGAGAAUCUAGAAGGCUAUGCACGUGUGAAGGGCUAUGCACAGUCACAGAAGAGACCUCAUAGGCUCUCAGAGACUCUGUGCGAGCAGGAAAAUAAGGCUAGGAGGGAUCCUCAACUGCCUGAGUGCUGAAGGCGUGUCCCGACUCUCUCACAGAGCUCUCAGCAAAGACUGGGAGAUGCAUUGGUUCCAGACAUUUAAAAAAAACCUAUGUCCAAUCAUUCAUAGACCAAUGACCAAGCCUAUCAGUGACAUCAGUGGCCAUAAACAGCGACAUGAGGGGAAUAAUAGAGACAUCACAGAAUUUUUCAGAAAAGUAACUAAACAUGUAAACAACAAUGAACACCCCUGGGGAAGGGGGAGAACCUAUUUUCUAGAGCUUUGGCUUUAUUUUAAAUGUCCAGUUUAGAACAAUAGUAAAAAAAAAAUAUGAGAAUAAGAAGCAAGAAAACAUGGCUCAUGCACAGGAAAAAGGUCAUCAAUAGAAACUGUCAUUAAGGAAACCCAGACAAGGACUCGCUAGAAACAGAGUUCAUAUCAGUUAUUAAAUACGUUAAAGAACUAAAGGCAAUAAUAAGUGAUAACUAAUGGAAAGAAUGAAUAUAAUAUCUCAUCAAAUAGAUAAUAUGAAUAAAGAGAGAGACAUUAUAAAAUAGAACCAAACAAAAAUUUUGGCAAAUACCAAGGAGAACAGUUGCUGGAUUGGUAUAUAAGAUUAUAUCUAGUUUUAUAGGAAACUGCCAAACCGUCUUCUAAAGUGUCUGUACCAUUUUGCAUUCCCUCCAGCAAUGAAUGAGAUUUCCAGUCGCUACACGUGAACGACAACUAGUUUUGAAUUGUCUCAUUAUUUUAUAGGAUGGUUUUGAAGAUUUGAGGGAAAAGCAUCAAAUUGGUGGCCAAGCUUCUAUGCCCCUCUUCCCAUUUUCUGGGGCAGUGAAAGGAAGUAUCUUGCUCUUUCAUAUGCUGUUUUAAUCCAUUAGACAUUGUUUUGCACUAAGAAACUUAAAAAUAGGAAGCAUGUUGGAAGAUUAUUCAGUCAAAAUAGCUAAAUAAAAACAUAAGUAAAUAUAAAGCACUUGAACAUUAUAGUCAGUGUUCAGUGAUCUAUUUCUCUCUCUUCUUAUCUGUAAUAUGGUGACAUAUUUGUGUCUCAGCAGAGGUCUGUUGUAAGGAAUCUCGGACCAAUUGCCCAAUGCUCAUUUUUAUGUGUUAUAAAUGUCAUAAUUAUUAUGUUCUAUUUUAAUAAAUAAAUUUUGCAAGAUAGAUAUUCUCAGUCCUAUUUAGAGAUAAAGAAUCUGGGGCUUAGAAACUUAAGAUGCUUUCCCAGGUUACUAGAAAUUAACAGAAAUUGAUUUAUUUUUCCUGGAGAAACAAGAGGCAGUACAGCAUUCUGUGAGUUUUCAGAAGAGUUAAAAUUUCGAAAGGGAACUUAUCUGAUGCUAGGAGUGGGUGCAUGACAGAAAUUCGAGUGCAUGCUCUAUCUAACCAUAAAUCUUUGUAAUGCUAUGCUGCCACACUAUAUUGCUCGAUAUUAAUUAUUAAUGUUCUUGUCCAUCUGCCCCACUAAAUUUUGAGCACCUACAGGUUUAAAACCACGUAUAGUUCAAUUAUUCUUCAAAUCUUAGAGCCCGUAGCAUGGAGUUCAAUUUCUGGUGCUUAAUCCAUAUUUUAUUUAUUAACAGAGUUAAUGAAGGGGCUUAUAAAUUCAAAUUCCUAUAGAAUAGUAACAGAAACAUGAUACAAGUUAACUGAAUAUUUGGCAUCUAACUUGUUGAAUUGGACGAAAGUGCUUCUCUAGUAUAUUCAUUAGCAUGAUGGAUUAUCUAUGUAUUACAUAUGUAUAUAUGGUAUAUAUUUAUAUAUGAUAUAUAUAUCAUAGAGAUACCAUUUAUGCAUGUAUGUAUAUAUACACAUAUAUAUGCACCAUAUGUAAUAUGUAUAUGCACAUACAUUAUAUUUAUAUAUGAUACAUACUUCACUGGAAAAUGUAGACUGCAAACUGCCAUAUGAAGACAAGAAAGGAACGUUCGUAACAAUUGAGUCGGUUAUGGAGCUUGUAUCUCGUGAUCCUGCUGAGUCCAUCGUUCUAGGAGAGCUGCUUUCCUGCUGAGACAGGAGUGCUUGUGCACCCACGCCUAGGCUUGAAGAAGUGUAGCAUCCUGGAAUAGUGAGUCAUGGACAUGCUGAGAAGCCUCUGUCUUCAUUAAUUCAAGCCGCAGACAUAAGAAAAUUGCUUCAAUUUAUUACUUUAUCAUUAUUUAUCCAGUUGCAGAUUAUCUUAUAAAUACACAUCACCAGAAAACAAAUAUAUACAAAUGAUUAUUUUGUUAUUAAAAGGAAGAACUGUGUUUCUUUCCUUUUAUACAAUAGACUGUAGUUUCAGUGAUUAUCAUCAGGGAGGAAAAACGCUGAAAAAUAGUUUUUCUUAUUUUCAGCCUUUUGCAGAUUUUGAGAAUCAAGACAAUUCUCACGUGCUUUAUUUUUUGCAGCAAUUUUUAGGAUGAGAUAUGAUAAAAUAACUGCAUCCACUCAUAUUUUUUUCUGGGAGUGAGAAAAUAGGAAAAAUAUAAGGGCAAUGAUAGAUUGGAUUUCAGAACUAUUUUUCAUGAUUGAUUUUUCUCUAAAGGAAUUGGGAUGAAUUUGUCAUGCAUUUAUUGAGUCUUAGUAGAGAGGGAUAUUUUUUACUGACA